GGCUCGGGGCGACCCGUGCCGUCUGUAGUCCCUGUCUUUUCCAGUACCUGUUCCGUUUCCUCGGCGGGCUUGCCCGCCAGCGAGGACCCAAACCAAACCCUGAAGUGAGCGGUUACGUCUGAAAACAAACAAAAUCUAUUAAAACUUUCAACAACGGAUCUCUUGGUUCUGGCAUCGAUGAAGAACGCAGCGAAAUGCGAUAAGUAGUGUGAAUUGCAGAAUUCAGUGAAUCAUCGAAUCUUUGAACGCACAUUGCGCCCCUUGGUAUUCCUUGGGGCAUGCCUGUUCGAGCGUCAUCUACACCCUCAAGCUCAGCUUGGUGAUGGGCGACUGUCCCCCCGCGGACUCGCCUCAAACGCAUCUGGCGGCUGGGCCGGCGGCUUCUCCUGCAGCACAUUUGCAGCGCGAGGCGCGCGGCUCCGGCGAACCACAAGCCCCUUUCUCAGUUUUGACCUCGGAUCAGGUAGGGAUACCCGCUGAACUUAAGC
RNAcentral lists this ribosomal RNA (488 nucleotides) under Preussia sp. (in: ascomycete fungi). RNAcentral describes it as "Preussia sp. (in: Fungi) partial 18S ribosomal RNA". The stretch from base 143 to 296 matches the Rfam family "5.8S ribosomal RNA". Lineage: Eukaryota; Fungi; Ascomycota; Dothideomycetes; Pleosporales; Sporormiaceae. The record is from RNAcentral.